UACGGAGGAUGCAAGCGUUAUCCGGAAUGAUUGGGCGUAAAGCGUCCGCAGGUGGCUGUGUAAGUCUGCUGUUAAAGAGUCUAGCUCAACUAGAUAAAAGCAGUGGAAACUACACGGCUAGAGUACGUUCGGGGCAGAGGGAAUUCCUGGUGUAGCGGUGAAAUGCGUAGAGAUCAGGAAGAACACCGGUGGCGAAGGCGUUCUGCUAGGCCGCAACUGACACUGAGGGACGAAAGCUAGGGGAGCGAAUGGG
RNAcentral lists this ribosomal RNA (253 nucleotides) under uncultured bacterium. Its description in RNAcentral is "partial 16S ribosomal RNA". It matches the Rfam family "Bacterial small subunit ribosomal RNA", at positions 524 to 776 of the family's 1533-position model. The record is from RNAcentral.